AACACAAGCUAUUCUUCAUAUAGACGGGAAGAGGUUCUGGUGAGCUGGCUUUGGUUAUGGAGACAUAUACUUCAUACACUUCACAAGGAUGGUUUUCUCCCUCAAUGUUCCAGAACUAUGAGGGAUCUCUUCUUGAUGUUUUCUUUGAGAAAAUUGUCGAAUUGCUACAGCAAAAGGCAAUAAAGGUGUGGCCAUAUUCCAGAUGCAGUGAGUCAAGAGUGGACAAGACAGCUCAAAGACAACUCCCAAAAGAUUUCUCAAGAUGGAACAAAAGACCUUGCUCAUGUUAGGCAAGUAUUCUGCCAUUGAGCAUCAUAUCCAUUCAACAACUAUGAUUUGUGAUUGACUUCCAGAUUGCCAUAGUCUAAAAUCCACAGACACACACAGA
This is a non-coding RNA of Peromyscus maniculatus bairdii (prairie deer mouse), 388 nucleotides long. Lineage: Eukaryota; Metazoa; Chordata; Mammalia; Rodentia; Cricetidae. The record is from RefSeq and is a predicted model, not a curated record.